RNAcentral lists this ribosomal RNA (1327 nucleotides) under Salmonella enterica subsp. enterica serovar Stanleyville. RNAcentral's name for it is "partial 23S ribosomal RNA". It matches the Rfam family "Bacterial large subunit ribosomal RNA", at positions 1497 to 2802 of the family's 2925-position model. The record is from RNAcentral. Lineage: Bacteria; Pseudomonadati; Pseudomonadota; Gammaproteobacteria; Enterobacterales; Enterobacteriaceae.
GACGGUUGUCCCGGUUUAAGCGUGUAGGUGUGUGUUCCAGGUAAAUCCGGUUCACUUUAACACUGAGGCGUGAUGACGAGGCACUACGGUGCUGAAGCAACAAAUGCCCUGCUUCCAGGAAAAGCCUCUAAGCAUCAGGUAACAUCAAAUCGUACCCCAAACCGACACAGGUGGUCAGGUAGAGAAUACCAAGGCGCUUGAGAGAACUCGGGUGAAGGAACUAGGCAAAAUGGUGCCGUAACUUCGGGAGAAGGCACGCUGACAUGUAGGUGAAGUGAUUUACUCAUGGAGCUGAAGUCAGUCGAAGAUACCAGCUGGCUGCAACUGUUUAUUAAAAACACAGCACUGUGCAAACACGAAAGUGGACGUAUACGGUGUGACGCCUGCCCGGUGCCGGAAGGUUAAUUGAUGGGGUCAGCGCAAGCGAAGCUCCUGAUCGAAGCCCCGGUAAACGGCGGCCGUAACUAUAACGGUCCUAAGGUAGCGAAAUUCCUUGUCGGGUAAGUUCCGACCUGCACGAAUGGCGUAAUGAUGGCCAGGCUGUCUCCACCCGAGACUCAGUGAAAUUGAACUCGCUGUGAAGAUGCAGUGUACCCGCGGCAAGACGGAAAGACCCCGUGAACCUUUACUAUAGCUUGACACUGAACAUUGAGCCUUGAUGUGUAGGAUAGGUGGGAGGCUUUGAAGCGUGGACGCCAGUCUGCGUGGAGCCGACCUUGAAAUACCACCCUUUAAUGUUUGAUGUUCUAACGUGGACCCGUGAUCCGGGUUGCGGACAGUGUCUGGUGGGUAGUUUGACUGGGGCGGUCUCCUCCUAAAGAGUAACGGAGGAGCACGAAGGUUGGCUAAUCCUGGUCGGACAUCAGGAGGUUAGUGCAAUGGCAUAAGCCAGCUUGACUGCGAGCGUGACGGCGCGAGCAGGUGCGAAAGCAGGUCAUAGUGAUCCGGUGGUUCUGAAUGGAAGGGCCAUCGCUCAACGGAUAAAAGGUACUCCGGGGAUAACAGGCUGAUACCGCCCAAGAGUUCAUAUCGACGGCGGUGUUUGGCACCUCGAUGUCGGCUCAUCACAUCCUGGGGCUGAAGUAGGUCCCAAGGGUAUGGCUGUUCGCCAUUUAAAGUGGUACGCGAGCUGGGUUUAGAACGUCGUGAGACAGUUCGGUCCCUAUCUGCCGUGGGCGCUGGAGAACUGAGGGGGGCUGCUCCUAGUACGAGAGGACCGGAGUGGACGCAUCACUGGUGUUCGGGUUGUCAUGCCAAUGGCACUGCCCGGUAGCUAAAUGCGGAAGAGAUAAGUGCUGAAAGCAUCUAAGCACGAAACUUGCCCCGA